UGAGGAAUAUUGGUCAAUGGGCGAGAGCCUGAACCAGCCAAGUCGCGUGAAGGAAGACAGUCCUAAGGAUUGUAAACUUCUUUUAUACGGGAAUAACGGGCGAUACGAGUAUUGCAUUGAAUGUACCGUAAGAAUAAGCAUCGGCUAACUCCGUGCCAGCAGCCGCGGUAAUACGUAUGUCACGAGCGUUAUCCGGAUUUAUUGGGCGUAAAGCGCGUCUAGGUGGUUAUAUAAGUCUGAUGUGAAAAUGCAGGGCUCAACUCUGUAUUGCGUUGGAAACUGUAUAACUAGAGUACUGGAGAGGUAAGCGGAACUACAAGUGUAGAGGUGAAAUUCGUAGAUAUUUGUAGGAAUGCCGAUGGGGAAGCCAGCUUACUGGACAGAUACUGACGCUGAAGCGCGAAAGCGUGGGUAGCAAACAGGAUUAGAUACCCUGGUAGUCCACGCUGUAAACGAUGAUUACUAGGUGUUGGGGGUCGAACCUCAGCGCCCAAGCAAACGCGAUAAGUAAUCCGCCUGGGGAGUACGUACGCAAGUAUG
Molecule: ribosomal RNA, 540 nt
Filed under: uncultured bacterium
Lineage: Bacteria
Description: bacterial SSU rRNA
Rfam family: Bacterial small subunit ribosomal RNA
Source: RNAcentral